UGGGGAAUCUUAGACAAUGGGGGGCAACCCUGAUCUAGCCAUGCCGCGUGAGUGAUGAAGGCCUUAGGGUUGUAAAGCUCUUUCAGCUGGGAAGAUAAUGACGGUACCAGCAGAAGAAGCCCCGGCUAACUCCGUGCCAGCAGCCGCGGUAAUACGGAGGGGGCUAGCGUUGUUCGGAAUUACUGGGCGUAAAGCGCACGUAGGCGGACCAGAAAGUUGGGGGUGAAAUCCCGGGGCUCAACCUCGGAACUGCCCUCAAAACUAUUGGUCUGGAGUUCGAGAGAGGUGAGUGGAAUUCCGAGUGUAGAGGUGAAAUUCGUAGAUAUUCGGAGGAACACCAGUGGCGAAGGCGGCUCACUGGCUCGAUACUGACGCUGAGGUGCGAAAGCGUGGGGAGCAAACAGAAUUAGAUACCCUGGUAGUCCACGCCGUAAACGAUGAAUGCCAGACGUCGGGCAGCAUGCUGUUCGGUGUCACACCUAACGGAUU
This 489-nucleotide ribosomal RNA is filed under the name uncultured bacterium. RNAcentral describes it as "partial 16S ribosomal RNA". It matches the Rfam family "Bacterial small subunit ribosomal RNA", at positions 355 to 861 of the family's 1533-position model. The record is from RNAcentral.